UGGAGAGUUUGAUCCUGGCUCAGAUUGAACGCUGGCGGCAUGCCUUACACAUGCAAGUCGAACGGUAACAGGUCUUCGGAUGCUGACGAGUGGCGAACGGGUGAGUAAUACAUCGGAACGUGCCCGAUCGUGGGGGAUAACGCAGCGAAAGCUGUGCUAAUACCGCAUACGAUCUACGGAUGAAAGCGGGGGAUCGCAAGACCUCGCGCGGACGGAGCGGCCGAUGGCAGAUUAGGUAGUUGGUGGGAUAAAAGCUUACCAAGCCGACGAUCUGUAGCUGGUCUGAGAGGACGACCAGCCACACUGGGACUGAGACACGGCCCAGACUCCUACGGGAGGCAGCAGUGGGGAAUUUUGGACAAUGGGCGAAAGCCUGAUCCAGCCAUGCCGCGUGCAGGAUGAAGGCCUUCGGGUUGUAAACUGCUUUUGUACGGAACGAAAAAGUCUUCUCUAAUACAGGGGGCGAAUGACGGUACCGUAAGAAUAAGCACCGGCUAACUACGUGCCAGCAGCCGCGGUA
Molecule: ribosomal RNA, 520 nt
Filed under: beta proteobacterium 10406
Lineage: Bacteria; Pseudomonadati; Pseudomonadota; Betaproteobacteria
Description: bacterial SSU rRNA
Rfam family: Bacterial small subunit ribosomal RNA
Source: RNAcentral